AUUGAACGCUGGCGGCAGGCCUAACACAUGCAAGUCGAACGGUAACACGAAGAAGCUUUCUUCUUUUCUGACGAGUGGCGGACGGGUGAGUAAUGUCUGGCAAACUGCCUGAUUUAGGGGGAUAACAACUGGAAACGGUAGCUAAUACCGCAUAACUUCUCAAGACCAAAAAGGGGGACCUUCUUUCCUCUUGCCAUCGUAUGUGCCCAGAUGGGAUUAGCUAGUAGGUGGGGUAACGGCUCACCUAGGCGACGAUCCGUAGCUGGUCUGAGAGGAUGACCAGCCACACUGGAACUGAGACACGGUCCAGACUCCUACGGGAGGCAGCAGUGGGGAAUAUUGCACAAUGGGCGCAAGCCUGAUGCAGCCAUGCCGCGUGUGUGAAGAAGGCCUUCGGGUUGUAAAGUCCUUUUAGCGGGGAGGAAGGGAGUAAAGUUAAUACCUUUCCUCAUUGACGUUACCCGAAGAAGAAGCACCGGCUAACUCCGUG
This 490-nucleotide ribosomal RNA is filed under the name uncultured bacterium. RNAcentral's name for it is "partial 16S ribosomal RNA". It matches the Rfam family "Bacterial small subunit ribosomal RNA", at positions 30 to 507 of the family's 1533-position model. The record is from RNAcentral.